UACGUAGGGGGCAAGCGUUAUCCGGAUUUACUGGGUGUAAAGGGAGCGUAGACGGCAGGGCAAGUCUGAUGUGAAAGGUCGGGGCCCAACCCCGGGACUGCAUUGGAAACUGUCCGGCUGGAGUACAGGAGAGGUAAGUGGAAUUCCUAGUGUAGCGGUGAAAUGCGUAGAUAUUAGGAGGAACACCGGUGGCGAAGGCGGCUUACUGGACUGUAACUGACGUUGAGGCUCGAAAGCGUGGGGAGCAAACAGG
This 253-nucleotide ribosomal RNA is filed under the name uncultured bacterium. RNAcentral describes it as "partial 16S ribosomal RNA". It matches the Rfam family "Bacterial small subunit ribosomal RNA", at positions 524 to 776 of the family's 1533-position model. The record is from RNAcentral.